Molecule: ribosomal RNA, 120 nt
Organism: Myotis lucifugus (little brown bat)
Lineage: Eukaryota; Metazoa; Chordata; Mammalia; Chiroptera; Vespertilionidae
Source: Ensembl
GCCCAAAGAAAUGACCACCCUGAACGCGCCCAACCUCAUCUGAUCUCAGAAGCUAAGCAGGGUCGGGCCUGGUUAGUACUUGGAUGGGAGUCCGCCUGGGAAUACCGGGUGCUGUAGGCU